This 3023-nucleotide long non-coding RNA is filed under the name Triticum aestivum (bread wheat). RNAcentral describes it as "long non-coding RNA (TAES_LNC012982)". The record is from RNAcentral. Lineage: Eukaryota; Viridiplantae; Streptophyta; Magnoliopsida; Poales; Poaceae.
GUAGCCAACCGCGAUCUUCAACAACAAAGAAUUCCUCAUGAUAAAGUGAGUUCUUCAUUUGUACUAUUUUCUUUAAGAUGGCUGGAUCAAUUGGAGCUGCUGGAACCCAGCCUUGAGGAACCUUGCUUGCCACUGCCUGUAGCUUUCUGGCCUCUCAGUCCUUUCUGCAUCCUCACAUGCUAUGCUGUUAAGUGCGUCCCGCCCAAAUAGGACCCUCUCAAUUGUCUUUCUUGCUUCAUUAUCCCGUGGAACAUUUGCAUCAAGCAUGUCAAACAUUGAAGAGUAAUGGAGCAUAACCUCUUUGAAUCGUUGUAUGAAGAAGGGAGAACUGUGUAACCCAUUGACGGUACCAGAAAUAAAAACCUUCGGGUUCAUCCUCCUCAUAGUUUUCAGCACCUCAUCCCUUGCGCUAUUUACGGCAUCGGUUUCAUGACCGAGAUUCUUCAUCCGGAACAUGCAGUUGAUUAUGAGAAAUUCAUCCUCAUCAAUGUUAAGAUCCUCAAUUUCAAUGGUAUCCCAUCUUGAAGCGGCAAUGCCCUGAUACUGAAAAGGUACCUUGAACAUGUUUGCAUAGUCAACCAACCGCUUACCUGUCUCUUCGAUCAUUUCGCAGGGGCGCAAACUUUGCUGGGGAGUGUCUAUACCUGUGAUCCGAAGCUUAGGAGCUCCCUCUCCUUGCUGUGCAAACCUCUGAAUCAUUGAUGGCCACUGAAAGCCGAAGCCUAUGCCGAAAUCGAUGAUGUGCACCCUUGGUUGCCUUUGUGAGACAUAAAAAAUAGUUUGGUUGGCAAAGUAGUAUGAUGCCCUUUUGAAAGGGCAAGCUGCAAGAAAAAGACUGCAAACAUCUAACCAAUCUGCGGUACUUGUUCGCCUUUCCACGAGGUUCCGGUAAACCUGACUCCCGAUCCCAUUCAAGCGUGCCUCAAGGCCAUCUGCCAAGUAAAAUGCCAGUCUCUGAGUACAAUCACCAUCUGCUGAAGAGUGUUGUCUUAUCUUCAAUAGCAGUUCACUGGCCAACAGGUAGCAGUUUUCUGCCACAGCUUGUGCGCAAUGGAUGAGGAGAGUCCUGAGAUCAACCAACUCUUUCCUCGGCUGCUUCCUACUUUUGCUCCGGCCGUUUAGCGAGUUCUUGUUUCCUUCCCCCGCCAUCCUUCCUUGAAGUUUUGUUAUUUGGUCAGAGGGACCAUAGCACAGCAGAACUCGGUCGAAAUUUUCAUUUCGAAUUAUUGCACAAGUGGUGAUAGCAUGAUGUUUAUUGCUCCUUCCUAAGAUAUCCCAGUUCCUUUGGUCUGACACCUCAAAGAUUGUGUUUUCGCUGGUCCUCUCUCCUAGUUUUGCCUUUGUAGUCAGUUGGGAAAUAUGAAGUAUGUCGUUCUUUAAAUAUAUCACCAGCUUAUCAAUAAUUGGAGCCAACAUUAUUUUCUUCUCGACACCUCUCUGACAAUGCAAGGCUGGGAAUUCAGAUCCGGAAGUCCAUCCAACACUUUUGAACGGACGAUUUGGUAGAGAAAGACUCCUAUUGCAGAUAUAUGGACUCAACGGGCUUGUUAAGGGUUGUAACACGAUGUAACUGGAAUAGUCAUUACUGAAGCUAGUGCUCCGGAGCCUCUUGUAACGGCUGGUCCCACUCUUAUCAGAGGUUUCUGGUUUGUUAUUGCUAUGCAAUGGGUGCCAGUUAGUAGUCGACGCGGAUACCUCCCCAAGAAUGUCACGGAAUGGCUUCUCAGCAGCCUGGAGAGCAGCCUCCCCUUGGCAUAUGUCAACCCUCUCAUCGACGUCUUCCAUCAACAUCUGGCUUAUGUAGUGAAGGGCAUCAUUUGAUCUGAUCCAGCGGUGCUCAGGGCUACCCCCUGCAGCAAUCUGAAAUUGGUUUUGUCCAAGGCUGCUGUUGACACUUGCUUGGUUGGCUGGGGAGAGAACUGUGGAGUGUGGACCACUCAGUUCGUGGUUGUACACGGUAAGUUGCUGCUGGGAAGAGGAAUCACCCUCGUAUGGUUGGUCGGUUGCUACGACAGUCUCCAGAUUGUCACAGAGAGGUUCAGUUGCCAUUGUGGAAAGUCUGAUUUCCACCUCAAUAUGAGAUAUAUAUGACGCUUCUUUCUCCCACUGCUAAUGAAUCAGCCUGUUUACUGGACGAAGAAAAAAUGGGAAUGGAAACUAAAUUAUGUGAGACGAAUUUCCAUUGAUCACCUUGCGUGCUACAAUCUAGAAUGCGAACGUAGUUCUGCUUCUUUUUUAUCAGAAAUUCAGCUUAUGAUUGUUUUGGCAUGCAGACAUGAGAACGGCUAUUUUAGCCGGUUAAACAUACAUUAAGCAUCCAUAACAGAAACAGCAUGACUAAAGCGAUUUUGAGUAUACACGCGCCUAAUAUCACUGUUCAUAUUAUUUAUUUGCAGGAGGCUCAUCAUCUGAUCUAAGCAAGUAGCAAAAUAGUAGGGAAGCACACACCUUGGAUAUUAAGCAGCAGCAGCAGCAGCAUCAGAUCCAAUGCUUUGAGAGAGGAGUAGCGAGGAUGUGGACUAUGAAAGAAGAGUAGUGAGGUUGUGGUGUUGAUGUGAGCUAAAUUUGUCGUUCCUCUACCUUAUGGCUUAGUUCCCAAUGUCAUGAGAUUGUGACGUUGAAUGGUUCAGAUUACAAGAAAUUAUUCGGUCGAUUAGUUCUAGGCCCGGCCGCGCACCAGACCUAUAAAAAAGGGUUUAUUAGGAGCGCUGGCCUGGGCUUCAGUCAUUAUUAAGGUCCCUACUUGAACUGUUAAAAAAAGCAGAUGCACUGUUCAAAGAAAUUUGUCCUUCUUUUCUACUUGAUGUAUAUCAUGAAUAGCAUUUAGCUGGUAUUCAAAGAAAAAAGAGGGCACUAUUAAAGAAACUUGUAUUGUUUUUCAUAUGAUAGUUGAUGUAUGUGAUGGCUGAGUUUUUGGAGGGUAGUUUGUUGUACUUUAUCUCAUUAUACCAUCAGACUUUUUUCGUAACUAUUUUCUCUGCAUUUUGAGAUUGGUAUAGUGGUAUAAAGCUUUGAGAUUAGUU